Molecule: ribosomal RNA, 987 nt
Filed under: Vibrio harveyi
Lineage: Bacteria; Pseudomonadati; Pseudomonadota; Gammaproteobacteria; Vibrionales; Vibrionaceae
Description: bacterial SSU rRNA
Rfam family: Bacterial small subunit ribosomal RNA
Source: RNAcentral
AACGAGUUAUCUGAACCUUCGGGGGACGAUAACGGCGUCGAGCGGCGGACGGGUGAGUAAUGCCUAGGAAAUUGCCCUGGUGUGGGGGAUAACCAUUGGAAACGAUGGCUAAUACCGCAUAAUACCUUCGGGUCAAAGAGGGGGACCUUCGGGCCUCUCGCGUCAGGAUAUGCCUAGGUGGGAUUAGCUAGUUGGUGAGGUAAUGGCUCACCAAGGCGACGAUCCCUAGCUGGUCUGAGAGGAUGAUCAGCCACACUGGAACUGAGACACGGUCCAGACUCCUACGGGAGGCAGCAGUGGGGAAUAUUGCACAAUGGGCGCAAGCCUGAUGCAGCCAUGCCGCGUGUGUGAAGAAGGCCUUCGGGUUGUAAAGCACUUUCAGUCGUGAGGAAGGUAGUGUAGUUAAUAGCUGCAUUAUUUGACGUUAGCGACAGAAGAAGCACCGGCUAACUCCGUGCCAGCAGCCGCGGUAAUACGGAGGGUGCGAGCGUUAAUCGGAAUUACUGGGCGUAAAGCGCAUGCAGGUGGUUUGUUAAGUCAGAUGUGAAAGCCCGGGGCUCAACCUCGGAAUAGCAUUUGAAACUGGCAGACUAGAGUACUGUAGAGGGGGGUAGAAUUUCAGGUGUAGCGGUGAAAUGCGUAGAGAUCUGAAGGAAUACCGGUGGCGAAGGCGGCCCCCUGGACAGAUACUGACACUCAGAUGCGAAAGCGUGGGGAGCAAACAGGAUUAGAUACCCUGGUAGUCCACGCCGUAAACGAUGUCUACUUGGAGGUUGUGGCCUUGAGCCGUGGCUUUCGGAGCUAACGCGUUAAGUAGACCGCCUGGGGAGUACGGUCGCAAGAUUAAAACUCAAAUGAAUUGACGGGGGCCCGCACAAGCGGUGGAGCAUGUGGUUUAAUUCGAUGCAACGCGAAGAACCUUACCUACUCUUGACAUCCAGAGAACUUUCCAGAGAUGGAUUGGUGCCUUCGGGAACUCUGAGACAG